This is a ribosomal RNA of Sclerotinia borealis F-4128, 120 nucleotides long. The record is from Rfam. Lineage: Eukaryota; Fungi; Ascomycota; Leotiomycetes; Helotiales; Sclerotiniaceae.
ACAUACGACCAUAGAUUGAGGAAAAUAGGGCAUCCCGUCCGCUCUGCCAUACUCAAGCCUCAAAUCGGUAAAUUAGUAGUUGAGUGGGUGACCAUCAGCGAAUCCUUACUGUUGUAUGUU